Long non-coding RNA from Brienomyrus brachyistius, 618 nucleotides. RefSeq lists it as uncharacterized. The transcript is spliced from 4 exons. Lineage: Eukaryota; Metazoa; Chordata; Actinopteri; Osteoglossiformes; Mormyridae. The record is from RefSeq and is a predicted model, not a curated record.
AGUACCCCAAUUUCCUCAAGGUUGGGCUAAUUCAUUUACCCAGCAACAAUCAUUACAACAGCCACCAAGAGUUUGGAGCAAUCAAACUUCAUCUGAAGCACUAAUUCGGGAAGUCCUAACAAAGCAAGAAAUGAUCCUUGAGCAACAGACAUUUAUUUUGCGUCUUCUUCAAGCACGGCAAAACACCCAGGAUUGUGAAAUUGAAGAAGGGCUUCUGCCAGUGCAUGAUAUAGAAGCGCUACAAAACGUAGAAGUACAACUUAGUAAUGGAGAAUUCAAAGAGAGAUUGAUGAAUCACUUAAGUCUUAUUGGAGGGUGUGACAUAAAGGAUGCAGUCUGGCGGCUAAUGAGGAAAACAAUUUCCAAUAGCCUUGCUAGAAACAUGAAUUGGAAGGGGUUGAAUGGGAAGACAUCAUUUGCAGCACUGCGAUUGAAGGAUGUGAUGAUUGCUGCAGUUCGAAAAAAUCCACUGAUGUCCAAAGCAACAGAUCAUGAUCUGGAAUCUGUCAUGAAAAGAUGGCUGCAGCUUGCUUUAGAUCGAGAGGGCGGCAGAAAACGGCGGCAAAAAACACUCAUAAAAUGUCUCUCUUGUUCAAUCAACCACCCACCCACUUUCAC